AUUGAACGCUGGCGGCAGGCCUAACACAUGCAAGUCGAGCGGAGCGGCGGACGGGUGAGUAAUGCCUCGGAAUCUGCCUGGUAGUGGGGGAUAACGUCCGGAAACGGGCGCUAAUACCGCAUACUAUCAGAUAAGCCUCGGUGGGAUUAGCUAGUUGGUGGGGUAAAGGCCUACCAAGGCGACGAUCCGUAACUGGUUUGAGAGGAUGAUCAGUCAACCUGGAACAGAGACACGGUCCAGACUCCGACGGGAGGCAGCAGUGGGGAAUAUUGGACAAUGGGGGAAAGUCUGAUCCAGCCAUGCCGGGUGUGUGAAGAAGGUCUUCGGAUUGUAAAGCACUUUAAGUUGGGAGGCGUUACCAACAGAAUAAGCACCGGCUAACUUCGUGCCAGCAGCCGCGGUAAUUC
This 407-nucleotide ribosomal RNA is filed under the name uncultured bacterium. RNAcentral's name for it is "partial 16S ribosomal RNA". It matches the Rfam family "Bacterial small subunit ribosomal RNA", at positions 30 to 526 of the family's 1533-position model. The record is from RNAcentral.